Molecule: small nuclear RNA, 107 nt
Organism: Capra hircus (goat)
Lineage: Eukaryota; Metazoa; Chordata; Mammalia; Artiodactyla; Bovidae
Source: Ensembl
GCUGAGAGAUUGCUCAGUGCAUGUACUAAAACUGGAACAAUACAGAGAAGAUCAGCAUGGCCCUGCCAAAAGAUGACAUGUAAAUUCAUGAAGCACUCCAUAUUUGU